GGUUGUUUACCUGGGGGGGUGGUUUGUUUUCUUUUUCCUGUGCUAAGAGCAAAAGCCCAGUAAAGCCCUUUAAAAUUCAUUCCAUCCUGUGGAAGUAGGAAUGUCUUUCGCCGGGAACUUGGGCACCUCAAGCGGCACCAAGGUGAAGUUUUCAAGGACUGUGGGAGAAGCUCUCUCCACACCCUGACAAUGGGACAGCCACCUGCAUACCUCAGAGGGUCACAACAGCCUUUGGCAUGCCCUGUACUAACAGUGUAAAGGUGGAAGACGAGAUCAUGCCACAAUCCAGAUGCCAGAUACUGUCUGUCUGUGAGGGGUUUAGAGCCCUUGUUCUUCUUCGUGGUGUCAAGACAAACACUGCAGUGACUCAUUUUGUACACCUCGUGCAUGAGAAAUAUUCCAGUUAAGUGUAUUGUCAAAAUAUAGGUGUAGGAAAUAAUUCAUGUGUAAAGAUGUGCAUUAGUAACUUCAACUUAGGGUUGCAAAGGUUCAUGUUUUAGCAUGAAGGCUAUCCAUGGAGCAUCAGCAGAGGAAUGUGAAGGUGUCCUUCAGCCCCAAGGCUCUUCAUUUCAGUGAAGUGACUGAAUCUGGCCCUGGAUCCAAACAUUGAGUGGAAAAGCGGGAAGCAGUAUGAUCUACAGGAUGUGAAGCACCACUGGGAAAAUCCUCUGCUACCACUCUCAUACCUGGAAAUGGCUUGUUUCCAUGUGGAUGUUGCCUGUUUCCUAGACAAGUUAGGUAGGUUUGUGAUUCUAUAAGCUGCUGAAGGUAAACUAGGUUGGGAUGCCUGUUUGUCUGCCUUUCCAGCUGUUCCUUCAUCUUCUUUUUGGCUGCUGACCCUUGUUUCUCCUUCACACGCCUGGAAAUGAAGCAAGGCAAGAGGUCUGGGUGGCUCUGCUCCCUUGAGGAGCAGCGGGAGGAGUGGCAGUGGGAGAGGAGCGUUGCUGUAGCAAGGGGUGGGCACAGGUACCACAAGUUGAAAGCAGGAAGGCUGCAUGGCUGUGGCCGAGUCAGCCUCUCCCCGUGGCGUGGCACUGCAGGGCCACUGAUUUCCUUCCCGGCCGUGUGCACAAAAGGGGAGAGGCUCAGCCUGAGAGCAGCUGCAGCAGCACUGGGCACAGUCAGUUGCACACUGCAUAAUGGAAGAGGUCUGAUGCAGGCUGUGAAGGACUGAACUUGGCCUGUCUGCUCCUGUAAGUAAGCCUGCCCACCAGGUGGCAAGAACCUUGCCAUAGGAAUAGCAUAAACCAGCCUUUCACAGCAGCAAAAAAAAGACAUCACCUCUGUCUGUCCCGAAGUUAAACCCAUCACAGGAAAACUGUCCCAACUGUCUGCAUCUGGCUUCUUUUAGUGACAAGCUUCAUUAGAGGAGUGUCUGUCUCAUGCACAGCAUUUUAUGCACCAUUGUUUAUACAGGAAGGGCCUGUGCACUUCAGGGAUACUAUGAAGAGAAAUACUAAUCUAUGGUCAUUGAGUAUUUUGUAUUGAAUAGUGUCUUUGUAUUGUAAACAAGUGUAGUGAACCAUGAGGCAUGAAGACAAAUAAAAUGGCUGUAGCUGGC
Molecule: long non-coding RNA, 1561 nt
Organism: Pogoniulus pusillus (Red-fronted tinkerbird)
Lineage: Eukaryota; Metazoa; Chordata; Aves; Piciformes; Lybiidae
Exons: 2
Source: RefSeq, a predicted model, not a curated record